This 159-nucleotide small RNA is filed under the name Brugia malayi. Its description in RNAcentral is "RNA transcript Bm16668". Lineage: Eukaryota; Metazoa; Nematoda; Chromadorea; Rhabditida; Onchocercidae. The record is from RNAcentral.
AAAAAAAAGUAAUAGCAGCAGCAGCAGCAGCAGCAGCAGCAGCAGCAGCAGCAGCAGCAGCAGCAGCAGCAGCAGCAGUACUGAUGAUCUCUAUGUCAUCAGCAAGUGUUGCUAUGAGUUUGUCUUGUUGCAACCGCAAGUGCUGCUAUUCUUCUUGGU